This 370-nucleotide ribosomal RNA is filed under the name uncultured prokaryote. Its description in RNAcentral is "bacterial SSU rRNA". It matches the Rfam family "Bacterial small subunit ribosomal RNA", at positions 524 to 896 of the family's 1533-position model. The record is from RNAcentral.
UACGGAGGAUCCAAGCGUUAUCCGGAUUUAUUGGGUUUAAAGGGUGCGAAGGCGGACUUAUAAGUCAGUGGUGAAAUCUUACGGCUUAACCGUAAAAUUGCCAUUGAUACUGCAAGUCUUGAGUAUAGUUGAAGUAGCUGGAAUGUAUCAUGUAGCGGUGAAAUGCUUAGAUAUGAUACAGAACACCGAUUGCGAAGGCAGGUUACUAAGCUAUUACUGACGCUCAUGCACGAAAGCGUGGGGAGCAAACAGGAUUAGAGACCCUGGUAGUCCACGCCCUAAACGAUGAUUACUCGAUGUUGGCGAUAUACAGCCAGCGUCUGAGCGAAAGCAUUAAGUAAUCCACCUGGGGAGUACGAUCGCAAGGUUG